UACGUAGGGUGCAAGCGUUGUCCGGAAUUAUUGGGCGUAAAGAGCUCGUAGGCGGCUUGUCGCGUCGGCUGUGAAAACCUGGGGCUCAACCCCGGGCCUGCAGCCGAUACGGGCAAGCUAGAAUUCGGUAGGGGAGACUGGAAUUCCUGGUGUAGCGGUGAAAUGCGCAGAUAUCAGGAGGAACACCGGUGGCGAAGGCGGCCAGCUAGACCAGUUCUGACACUGAGGCGCGACAGCGUGGGGAGCAAACAGG
Molecule: ribosomal RNA, 253 nt
Filed under: uncultured bacterium
Lineage: Bacteria
Description: partial 16S ribosomal RNA
Rfam family: Bacterial small subunit ribosomal RNA
Source: RNAcentral